Molecule: ribosomal RNA, 509 nt
Filed under: uncultured microorganism
Description: bacterial SSU rRNA
Rfam family: Bacterial small subunit ribosomal RNA
Source: RNAcentral
GAGUUUGAUCUUGGCUCAGGAUGAACGCUGGCGGCGUGCUUAACACAUGCAGUCGAACGAAGCGCCUUAUUUGAUUUUCUUCGGAACUGAAGAUUUGGUGACUGAGUGGCGGACGGGUGAGUAACGCGUGGGUAACCUGCCCUGUACAGGGGGAUAACAAUCAGAAAUGACUGCUAAUACCGCAUAAGACCACAGCACCGCAUGGUGCAGGGGUAAAAACUCCGGUGGUACAGGAUGGACCCGCGUCUGAUUAGCUGGUUGGUGAGGUAACGGCUCACCAAGGCGACGACCAGUAGCCGGCUUGAGAGAGUGAACGGCCACAUUGGGACUGAGACACGGCCCAAACUCCUACGGGAGGCAGCAGUGGGGAAUAUUGCACAAUGGGGGAAACCCUGAUGCAGCAACGCCGCGUGAGUGAAGAAGUAUUUCGGUAUGUAAAGCUCUAUCAGCAGGGAAGAAAGUGACGGUACCUGACUAAGAAGCCCCGGCUAACUACGUGCCAGCAGCCG